GAUGAACGCUGGCGGCGUGCCUAAUACAUGCAAGUCGAGCGAACAGACGAGGAGCUUGCUCCUCUGACGUUAGCGGCGGACGGGUGAGUAACACGUGGAUAACCUACCUAUAAGACUGGGAUAACUUCGGGAAACCGGAGCUAAUACCGGAUAAUAUAUUGAACCGCAUGGUUCAAUAGUGAAAGACGGUUUUGCUGUCACUUAUAGAUGGAUCCGCGCCGCAUUAGCUAGUUGGUAAGGUAACGGCUUACCAAGGCAACGAUGCGUAGCCGACCUGAGAGGUGAUCGGCCACACUGGAACUGAGACACGGUCCAGACUCCUACGGGAGGCAGCAGUAGGGAAUCUUCCGCAAUGGGCGAAAGCUUGACGGAGCAACGCCGCGUGAGUGAUGAAGGUCUUCGGAUCGUAAAACUCUGUUAUUAGGGAAGAACAAAUGUGUAAGUAACUAUGCACGUCUUGACGGUACCUAAUCAGAAAGCCACGGCUAACUACGUG
Molecule: ribosomal RNA, 496 nt
Filed under: uncultured bacterium
Lineage: Bacteria
Description: partial 16S ribosomal RNA
Rfam family: Bacterial small subunit ribosomal RNA
Source: RNAcentral